RNAcentral lists this ribosomal RNA (482 nucleotides) under uncultured bacterium. RNAcentral describes it as "partial 16S ribosomal RNA". It matches the Rfam family "Bacterial small subunit ribosomal RNA", at positions 30 to 507 of the family's 1533-position model. The record is from RNAcentral.
AUUGAACGCUGGCGGCAUGCUUUACACAUGCAAGUCGAACGGCAGCGCGGGGCAACCUGGCGGCGAGUGGCGAACGGGUGAGUAAUAUAUCGGAACGUACCCAAGAGUGGGGGAUAACGUAGCGAAAGUUACGCUAAUACCGCUUACGAUCUAAGGAUGAAAGUGGGGGAUCGCAAGACCUCAUGCUCCUGGAGCGGCCGAUAUCUGAUUAGCUAGUUGGUGAGGUAAAGGCUCACCAAGGCGACGAUCAGUAGCUGGUCUGAGAGGACGACCAGCCACACUGGAACUGAGACACGGUCCAGACUCCUACGGGAGGCAGCAGUGGGGAAUUUUGGACAAUGGGCGCAAGCCUGAUCCAGCAAUGCCGCGUGAGUGAAGAAGGCCUUCGGGUUGUAAAGCUCUUUUGUCAGGGAAGAAACGGUAGAGGCUAAUAUCCUUUGCUAAUGACGGUACCUGAAGAAUAAGCACCGGCUAACUACGUG